RNAcentral lists this ribosomal RNA (1477 nucleotides) under uncultured bacterium. RNAcentral's name for it is "16S ribosomal RNA". It matches the Rfam family "Bacterial small subunit ribosomal RNA". The record is from RNAcentral.
GACGAACGCUGGCGGCGUGCUUAACACAUGCAAGUCGAACGGAAAGGCCCUGCUUUUGUGGGGUGCUCGAGUGGCGAACGGGUGAGUAACACGUGAGUAACCUGCCCUUGACUUUGGGAUAACUUCAGGAAACUGGGGCUAAUACCGGAUAGGAGCUCCUGCUGCAUGGUGGGGGUUGGAAAGUUUCGGCGGUUGGGGAUGGACUCGCGGCUUAUCAGCUUGUUGGUGGGGUAGUGGCUUACCAAGGCUUUGACGGGUAGCCGGCCUGAGAGGGUAACCGGCCACAUUGGGACUGAGAUACGGCCCAGACUCCUACGGGAGGCAGCAGUGGGGAAUAUUGCACAAUGGGCGGAAGCCUGAUGCAGCAACGCCGCGUGCGGGAUGACGGCCUUCGGGUUGUAAACCGCUUUCGCCUGUGACGAAGCGUGAGUGACGGUAAUGGGUAAAGAAGCACCGGCUAACUACGUGCCAGCAGCCGCGGUGAUACGUAGGGUGCGAGCGUUGUCCGGAUUUAUUGGGCGUAAAGGGCUCGUAGGUGGUUGAUCGCGUCGGAAGUGUAAUCUUGGGGCUUAACCCUGAGCGUGCUUUCGAUACGGGUUGACUUGAGGAAGGUAGGGGAGAAUGGAAUUCCUGGUGGAGCGGUGGAAUGCGCAGAUAUCAGGAGGAACACCAGUGGCGAAGGCGGUUCUCUGGGCCUUUCCUGACGCUGAGGAGCGAAAGCGUGGGGAGCGAACAGGCUUAGAUACCCUGGUAGUCCACGCUGUAAACGGUGGGUACUAGGUGUGGGGUCCAUUCCACGGGUUCCGUGCCGUAGCUAACGCUUUAAGUACCCCGCCUGGGGAGUACGGCCGCAAGGCUAAAACUCAAAGGAAUUGACGGGGCCCCGCACAAGCGGCGGAGCAUGCGGAUUAAUUCGAUGCAACGCGUAGAACCUUACCUGGGUUUGACAUGGAUCGGGAGUGCUCAGAGAUGGGUGUGCCUCUUUUGGGGUCGGUUCACAGGUGGUGCAUGGCUGUCGUCAGCUCGUGUCGUGAGAUGUUGGGUUAAGUCCCGCAACGAGCGCAACCCUUGUUCACUGUUGCCAGCACGUUAUGGUGGGGACUCAGUGGAGACCGCCGGGGUCAACUCGGAGGAAGGUGGGGAUGACGUCAAGUCAUCAUGCCCCUUAUGUCCAGGGCUUCACGCAUGCUACAAUGGCUGGUACAGAGAGUGGCGAGCCUGUGAGGGUGAGCGAAUCUCGGAAAGCCGGUCUCAGUUCGGAUUGGGGUCUGCAACUCGACCUCAUGAAGUCGGAGUCGCUAGUAAUCGCAGAUCAGCAACGCUGCGGUGAAUACGUUCCCGGGGCUUGUACACACCGCCCGUCAAGUCAUGAAAGUUGGUAACACCCGAAGCCGGUGGCCUAACCGUUGUGGGGGAGCCGUCGAAGGUGGGACUGGUGAUUAGGACUAAGUCGUAACAAGGUAGCCGUACCGGAAGG